UACGAAGGGGGCUAGCGUUGCUCGGAAUCACUGGGCGUAAAGGGUGCGUAGGCGGGUCUUUAAGUCAGGGGUGAAAUCCUGGAGCUCAACUCCAGAACUGCCUUCGAUACUGGCGAUCUCGAGUCCGGAAGAGGUGAGUGGAACUCCUAGUGUAGAGGUGGAAUUCGUAGAUAUUAGGAAGAACACCAGUGGCGAAGGCGGCUCACUGGUCCGGUACUGACGCUGAGGUGCGAAAGCGUGGGGAGCAAACAGG
This 253-nucleotide ribosomal RNA is filed under the name uncultured bacterium. Its description in RNAcentral is "partial 16S ribosomal RNA". It matches the Rfam family "Bacterial small subunit ribosomal RNA", at positions 524 to 776 of the family's 1533-position model. The record is from RNAcentral.